RNAcentral lists this long non-coding RNA (3392 nucleotides) under Mus musculus (house mouse). Its description in RNAcentral is "long non-coding RNA chrX:169891521-169894913". Lineage: Eukaryota; Metazoa; Chordata; Mammalia; Rodentia; Muridae. The record is from RNAcentral.
UUUUUUUUUUUUUGAUCCGCGUGUUUCCAAAUUCCUUAUUAACAAAUGCAAUCAGGCAACAACACAAAAGAAUAUGAAGUUGUGGUUCUUCUGAAAAAAAAAAAAAUUCUACUAUUUGCUCUUGUUUUCUAAUUAAGGUUUUGAAUGCUAAGAAUCUCUUUGUUGUUAGUGCCUUUGCAAAUCCUCUCUACCUGAAUGAAGACAAAAAAACCAAAAAACAAACAAAAAAAAACCUAAGGGAUUGUACCCUUCAAAGUACAACCAUGUGAAUUUUAGCCAGGUAAAUUGCUGAUUAGCUUGGAGUAAUUUAAAGAAACAGUAUGUAAGCAAGUUGGGAUAGGAUUCAGUCCUUUGUUAUCUCGGGGAGGGAUUAUGGUGGGGGUGUGGUUUUGAACAUAGUUUGAAACAGUCAGCUCUCAGUAUUGUGUUCUAUUUUGAUCUUUAUGUUAAUUUAAAUACUGAAAUUCUAAAGAAAAAAACCUCUUUAGAGGUCUUCUUUACCUUCUAAUCAGUACAUAAAUAUUUUCAACUCUAAUAUAUGUAAAUAUUUAUAAAUUUCUGUGUGUAUCCUAUGGUGACAUCCACUUCUACAGAAAGUUUCAUAAUGGUUGAAGGUAGAUACAUAAGUAUAUAUCCCUUAUCUUACAUGGUGACUUUCUCUGAGUGGUAUUCUGCAUACCCACACAUAUUUCAUGAUAUGUCCUGAAGUUCUUUGCAUAUUAAGUCAAAGAGAGUGCACUCUGUUUCUUUCAACAGCUGUAAAACAUUGCAUUAUGAUAUCCUGCCAUUCCAUUGCAACAUCCUAUCAUAACUGAUUGGACUUUGGUCAUAUGGGUAGCUUCCAGUCUUUUUCCAUUAAAAUAGUAUACAUGGAGAAGACUAAUUAAUAUUCAUCACUGUGUUCCAGUCAGGAAUAUCUGUCCAAUAGAUUAUAAGAAGUGGCUUUUGAGUGAAAAGGUGGAUGGGUUCUCUAAUUUAGUUAAAUCAAUAAGUUGGGCAGCCAGCAUGGAUGUCAGAGACUCACUGAUAUAGCACUCCUGAUUCUCUUGUCUUACUCUCCCAAGUGUUGAGAUUUACAAGUGUGUGAAACCAAUGCUGAUUUAGGAUUGUUCUUAAUAAACAUUUAGGAGUUUAUCUUUACAAUCAUUUGCCAUAGUCAUGUACCUUUGUUGACUCAACAAAUGUGAGCCCCCUAAAAUGUAGCUGGUUCCAAAGAUUUUCUUUGAAUGAAAGCUUAAACAGUUUGCAGCAAAUAUUUACGUGAGAGGAUAGGGCUUCAUGCCACGCCCAACAACCAAUUCCACUUUCUCUUUCAUUCUCUAUCCAAGAUAAGAAGCUCAGCUUUAUAGAGUACAAAUAAUCUCCAAAGUGUGGAAAGUUCACUGCUUGAGAUCUAUUGCCUACAAGAUGCUUAUAUUGCUAGUACUCAGUUUGUUGGAAUUACAACCAUUUUUCAAGGUAUUAGUAAGAAGAUCCACUUAAAUUACCAUCAUUUUUUUGAGACAAGGUUUCUCUGUGUAACAGCUCUGGUCGUCUUGGAACUAGCUCUGUAGAUCAGGUUGAUCUAGAACUCACAGAAAUCCAUCUAUCUCUGUCUCUUCAGUGUUGGGAAUAAAGAUGUUCACCACCUUUCCCCAGCCUUGAAAAUAUCAAUUCUUUAAAUUCAUUUCCUCCUUUGUCUCAGAUAUCAAGUAUUAGAAUACACUAUUUAUUACAGUGAUAUAAAUAUUCAUGCACACGUUCUGUAACACUCUUCUUCUUCUUCUUCUUUUUUUGAUUCUCUUAGUAAGGUUUUUUUUUAAUUAGAUAUUUUCUUUAUUUACAUUUCAAAUGUUAUCCCCUUUCCUGGUUUCCCCUCCAAAAAACAUCCUCCCCCUCUGCCCUUUCCCCUUCCCCUGCUCAUCAACUCACCCACUCCUGCUUCCUGGCCCUGGCAUUCCCCCACACUGGGGCAUAGCGCCUUCAUAGAAAAAAAGGGCCUCUCCCCACCCCAAUUUGAUGUCCGAGUAAACCAUCCUCUGCUGCAAUAUGCAGCUGGAGCCAUGAGUCCCACCAUGUGUGCUCUUUGGUGGUGGUUUAGUCCCUGGGAGCUCUGGGACUAGUUUAUAUUGUUGUUCCUCCUAUGGGGCUGCAAACCCCUUCAGCUAUCACCCUUCUUUAUUUUUUUCCUGUGUAUGGUAUGUGUAUGUAGUAUGUGAAUGCAUUUUCAUAUGUGUGGCCAUUUAUGUGUGUAUAGGUACAUGUGCAUGCAUGUAUGUAGGUCAUAAGUUAACAUCAGGCAUGUUUUGUCAGUUGUUCUCUACCUUAUAUAUUCAGGUAUGGUCUUUCAGUUGAACUCAUAUCCCACAAAUUCAUCUUGUCUAGCUAUACCUCCUGAGUGCUGGGUUUGUAGGUGGGUUACAUGUAUGUGAAGUCUGGGAAUCCAAACUCCAGUCCUUACAGGUGCAUGGCAAGUGCUUUACUUCUCAAAACAUACCUUCAGCCUUGUAUCAGCCAUCUUAAAGAUUAGUGUGCUCUAUGUAAAGAAUGAGUAAAUAACUAAUAUAUGAUUCUGAAUUUUCAAUGUUUGUUUAUUCUUUUACUUCAUAUUCUGGGUUCUUGCUAUGUAGUUAAAGCUGGCUUACAAUUACAAAAUUGUAAUUUUGCCUCAGCUUCCUGGGUGCUAGAUUUCAGGCACUUGUCACUACAACUGGCUUGUUUAUUCUUGAAAUAAUGGGAAUCACACAGUGUUUAGGAAUGUAUUCAUAUAGUUACUGUGUUGUAUUAAUUAUCCAGUUACUUAAUCAUGUAUGAUUGCAAUUACUUCUGUAAUAGGUUGGAAAUAAUAAACAUAGCACUUAUAUCAUAAAAUUUUGAUGAAGAUAGAUUAGGGGAAGAUGUUCUGAACCCUUCAUCCAACUCCCUUUAUUAUGCUCCCCAAACCUUUGGCAGUUACUAGUCUGUUUGCCACCUCUAUUACUACUACUACUACUACUACUACUACUACUACUACUACUACUACUGCCACUGCUGCUGCUCUUUUUAUUGCUGUGCUUAGAACUGAACCUAGAGUCUUGUGUACUUCAAGCAGGUACUUUAUCACUAUGAUAGUUUCCCAGCUCUCUGUCUCUAUAACUUUAUCCUUUCAAGAAUAUAUAAUAUAAGCGUUAUUGCCAUGACCCAUCUCCCUUGCUGAUAUAUUCACAGUUGCCUGUCUCUCACAAAACUCUUGAACUCUUUUGACUUGAAUCCAUAAUAUGUUUCAGUAUCUAAUAUAGAUUCUUCAAGGUCAGGGAUGCGCAUCUUCAGGACUGUUUAUAUUUGAUGUUUAAUUAUGUUUUGUGGUGGCCAAUUAGAUUCCCAAGCAUAACAACUCAAAAUGUCUCAAGAUCUUUCCAAAUAUCAACUGGAAU